CACAGUAGACAUGCCGCCCUGGUUAUGUGCAAUCUUAGAAGCUAAGCAGAGUUGGGUCUAGAUAGCACUUGGCUGGGGAACAACAUGUGAAUUCCAGGUGCUGCUUAAG
RNAcentral lists this ribosomal RNA (109 nucleotides) under Monopterus albus (swamp eel). Lineage: Eukaryota; Metazoa; Chordata; Actinopteri; Synbranchiformes; Synbranchidae. The record is from RNAcentral.